AGACUGCUGAGGAGUCCCACAAUAGGACGAAACGGCCGUCCAGUGC
Molecule: non-coding RNA, 46 nt
Organism: Schistosoma haematobium
Lineage: Eukaryota; Metazoa; Platyhelminthes; Trematoda; Strigeidida; Schistosomatidae
Source: Rfam